Molecule: long non-coding RNA, 812 nt
Organism: Fukomys damarensis (Damara mole-rat)
Lineage: Eukaryota; Metazoa; Chordata; Mammalia; Rodentia; Bathyergidae
Exons: 3
Source: RefSeq, a predicted model, not a curated record
UUGCUUAUUUAAGCACUGAUCAUCCCAGUUCCCCAUCUCUGUCUCUUUAAUUCUGUCUCUAAAUGUUUCUUCUUGCCAUGUGGUCUUAGCACUGAACAAGAGAUCGGGAUCCUUAGCAGGGGUCUCUGAUAAGUACCUAUAGUUAUCAGACAGGUAGGCUGGACUUGUGGGUUGGAGGUUUCAGCAUAGAGUCAACCAAGGGCCUCAACAGAGAAGUGAGUGGAGACAGAUAAGACUCUAUCACCUGAGACCUGAAGUACUCCAUUUGGAAGAGAUCUGGGAACAGAUAUAACAUAGCAAGUGGAACUUAGAAUGAGUGUUCCAGAGAUAGGAGGAAACCACGGAGACUUUAGGGGACUGAAGAUGCAUAAAAUUUAAAGAUAUACAAUGAUGGUGAUAAUCCAGUAGAGAAGUGAAUGAUGCAGAUUGAAAGAAGAGAACUCUUGAAACGAUGAUACAGGGGAUCCAAAAUAGGAUGGAACCAAAUGCACACAUCAGAGCAAGCAGUCUUAGGACACAGAAGCACAAAUGCUUACAGCAUUUAUAAGAGCGGGAGUGCAAUGGAAGGAAGAUGAUCAGCUGAAAUAGGGUAGCAGAGGAAUGGUGGGAGAUUUGAGCACAGUAAAGGCAGAAGACUCACUGAAGUGGAGAAGAAUAAUAUAAUUGCUCUGCACCAUUAAUGGCAUACAGGUUUGUGGCCUUGUUUAAAGAAAGGAAAUCUCAGCACUUAUUUUUCUUCACAGAUUUUUUUUAGCUGCCCAUGCGCAGAGUAUGCCGAAAGAUUGAUUAAUUCUGAGAUGAACUUUGACUAA